Molecule: ribosomal RNA, 305 nt
Filed under: uncultured bacterium
Lineage: Bacteria
Description: bacterial SSU rRNA
Rfam family: Bacterial small subunit ribosomal RNA
Source: RNAcentral
CUCCUACGGGGGGCAGCAGUAGGGAAUCUUCGGCAAUGGGCGAAAGCCUGACCGAGCAACGCCGCGUGAAUGAAGAAGGCCUUCGGGUUGUAAAAUUCUGUUAUAAGGGAAGAAAGGUGAUAGGAGGAAAUGACUAUCAAUUGACGGUACCUGACUAAGAAGCCCCGGCUAACUACGUGCCAGCAGCCGCGGUAAUACGUAGGGGGCAAGCGUUAUCCGGAUUUACUGGGUGUAAAGGGAGCGUAGACGGCGAUGCAAGUCUGAAGUGAAAGGCGGGGGCCCAACCCCCGGACUGCUUUGGAAAC